UGUGUGUGUUAGAUAGGGCUGAUUUGCCUGGCUGAAGACACAAAGCAGGAUUAUAAAGCCACUAGGGUUAGAGUUAUGGGUAGAGCAGGGCCCACCAGACACAGUAUGGAGAGAGAGAUAGAGAGAGAGAGGUAGAGAGAGAGGUAGGUAGAGAGAGAGAGAGAGAGGUAGGGGUAGAGCAGGGCCCACCAGACACAGUAUGGAGAGUGGGAGGUAGAGAGAGAGAGGUAGAGAGAGAGGUAGGUAGAGAGAGAGGUAGAGAGAGAGACAGACAGGGAGAGAACAGGUCAUCCAGCCUUUCAGUUCCUCCACCCUCACAUGCUAUGACAUCUUCUGGUUUCAAUGAUGUUUCUAGAGACAAUAUCUCUCUCAUCGUCACUCAAUGCCCAGGUUCACCUCCACUGUAUUCACAUCCUGCCAUACCUUUGUCUGUACAUUAUACCUCAAAGCUAUUUUAUCGCCCCC
Molecule: long non-coding RNA, 465 nt
Filed under: Salmo salar (Atlantic salmon)
Lineage: Eukaryota; Metazoa; Chordata; Actinopteri; Salmoniformes; Salmonidae
Description: lncRNA (ENSSSAG00000085185.1)
Source: RNAcentral